UCUGANUGAGUGCAGAAGGGGAGAGNGGAAUUCCAUGUGUAGCGGUGAAAUGCGUAGAUAUAUGGAGGAACACCAGUGGCGAAAGCGGCUCUNUGGUCUGUCACUGACGCUGAGGCUNGAAAGCGUGGGUAGCGAACAGGAUUAGAUACCCUGGUAGUCCACGCCGUAAACGAUGAGUGCUAGGUGUUAGGCCCNUUCCGGGGCUUAGUGCCGGAGCUAACGCAAUAAGCACUCCGCCUGGGGAGUACGACCGCAAGGUUGAAACUCAAAGGAAUUGACGGGGGCCCGCACAAGCGGUGGAGCAUGUGGUUUAAUUCGAAGCAACGCGAGGAACCUUACCAGGUCUUGACAUCCCGAUGCUAUUCUUAGAGAUAGGAAGUUACUUCGGUACAUCGGAGACAGGUGGUGCAUGGUUGUCGUCAGCUCGUGUCGUGAGAUGUUGGGUUAAGUCCCGCAACGAGCGCAACCCUUAUUGUCAGUUGCCAUCAUUAAGUUGGGCACUCUAGCGAGACUGCCGGUAAUAAACCGGAGGAAGGUGGGGAUGACGUCAAAUCAUCAUGCCCCUUAUGACCUGGGCUACACACGUGCUACAAUGGUCGGUACAACGAGUUGCGAGCCGGUGACGGCAAGCUAAUCUCUGAAAGCCGAUCUCAGUUCGGAUUGGAGGCUGCAACUCGCCUCCAUGAAGUCGGAAUCGCUAGUAAUCGCGGAUCAGCACGCCGCGGUGAAUACGUUCCCGGGCCUUGUACACACCGCCCGUCACACCACGAGAGUUUGUAACACCCGAAGUCGGUGAGGUANCCUUUAGGG
Molecule: ribosomal RNA, 810 nt
Filed under: uncultured bacterium
Lineage: Bacteria
Description: bacterial SSU rRNA
Rfam family: Bacterial small subunit ribosomal RNA
Source: RNAcentral